RNAcentral lists this unclassified non-coding RNA (342 nucleotides) under uncultured fungus. RNAcentral describes it as "partial contains 5.8S ribosomal RNA and internal transcribed spacer 2". The stretch from base 1 to 133 matches the Rfam family "5.8S ribosomal RNA", at positions 22 to 154 of the family's 154-position model. Lineage: Eukaryota; Fungi. The record is from RNAcentral.
UGGUUCUGGCAUCGAUGAAGAACGCAGCGAAAUGCGAUAAGUAAUGUGAAUUGCAGAAUUCAGUGAAUCAUCGAAUCUUUGAACGCACAUUGCGCCCUCUGGUAUUCCGGGGGGCACACCUAUUCGAGCGUCAUUAAGACCAUCGAGCUAGGCUCGGUAUUGGGCGGUCGCCGCGGACGUGAGCGUCGAAGCGGCGACGCCUGGAAGACAUCGGCGACGGCGUCCGGUCCUCGAGCGUGACAGCGGUUUCUCCCGAGCGCUUUGGAGGGUCGGCAUGCCUGGCUGCCGCGUUGGACGCAUCAACCAAAGGUUGACCUCGGAUUAGGUGGGGUUACCCGCUGA